Long non-coding RNA from Nycticebus coucang (slow loris), 2248 nucleotides. RefSeq lists it as uncharacterized. The record is from RefSeq and is a predicted model, not a curated record. NCBI's taxonomy places the organism in Eukaryota, Metazoa, Chordata, Mammalia, Primates, Lorisidae. The transcript is spliced from 3 exons.
UUGCCAAGGUGAAGGGAUCAGUGUGUUCGCUGACGUUCCGUGUUCUGAGCAGCGCGUUCUGAGUUCCAGCAUCAGGAGCCUCCAUGACCAGCCUGACCUGAGCACCUACAGGCAGCACCAGCAUGGGUACUACAAGAGGGCAUACACACUACUCAGACUAUGAUGAAAUUAAUGGCCUGAUUCUUCACCCUUGUUGGUAUCCACCAUCUCAGCCAUGCAACUUUGCACUGCUCUACUACUCAGCAGGUGGGUGUAAUCUUCCAACCCCGAGCUCAGCAUGUGUCUGGCUUUGGUCAAUAGGAAAUCAGCCAAAAUGCAAGCUGCUGUGAAGGUAUCAUUUGGCCUACUGACCUUGACUUUCUGUCAUCCCUGGGAAGACAUAUGGGGUCCAGCCAUCUAGUCUGUGUAGGAUGAGGGAUUUGUGACACUGAGCUGCCCUAGCCAAGGCCAGAUGAGAGCACAUCUCCUAGGAAGCCUGCUGAUGCACAAGAAAUAUUCAUUGUUCAAUAUCCCUGUGUUCUGUGGUUAUUUGUUAUGCAGCUACAGCUAACUGCCUUAUAUUCUAAUUAGUUAGGCUCCUUGGGUAGUGCACCAGCCCCAUACACUGAGGAUGGCAGGUUUGAGCCCUGCCCCAACCAAACUGCAACAAAUAAUAGCUGGGUGUGGUCGCAGACACCUCUAGUCCCAGCCACUUGGGAGGCUGAUGCAAGAGAAUCACCUAAGCCCAGGAGUUGGAAGUGCUGUGAGCUGUGAUGCCGAGGCAAUCUACCAAGGGGAAUAAACAGGUCAAGUGCUGACCCAGCACCCCUUUGCACCAGUCUUUCAAACCCUGGCCACACUAACUAAUCAACCUGAUUGCUGUUUAUGCCAAGAUCUAGACCAUGCAAAGCAACCUGAAUUCAUUUUCAUCCCUGCUGAUGUCAGUGCCUGGUGGAACCAAUCUGGAAAAAGCAUGAAUGAUAAUAUGUGGUAUCCACAGCCAGAGAAGAAGCAACAUACGACUUCACCUGCUGGUGAGACAACUGGUCUGUAAAAACUGUGGAGAUAUCUUUUGCUCAGGGACACAUAACAACCUGAUAUGUGAAUAUGCCAGUGAAGAGGACAAGACAUGACAAUCCCCAGGCUGGAAGGUCACAGGUUCUAACCUGACUGUCUAUAAAUAAUACUGGUCUUUUUAUCUUGUGUGGUAAUAAGGUAUACAAAUGGUUCCCACUCAAAUGGUUAGGAUGCUAUAGUCUUGGCUAUCUGACACGCUCUAUUACCAAGUAUUCCACUUUAAAUUCCAGUCAAAUUACAAUCUUGGGCUCUGUUGCUCAUAAGGUUGUACCUUAUGAACAUACAAAAUGUGACAUUAUAAAAAAUCCCCUUGUAUAUCAUAACUCAAAGUUCUUUUCAAUGCUCAGGAUCCUUUAUUCAGCAUUUGGAACUUAACAGAAUUGAAAGUGCAGUCAUAAAUCUCUCCAUGGUAAUAGAAUAAGAGCUAAACAUCACCAUGUGGGCAUUGGGAACACUUCAAGCAGAGAUUAACAGCCUAGCAUCUGUUGUAAUUCAAAAUCACCACAUCCUGGAUGCUUUGAUAGCUCAACAAAGAAGAGCUUGUGCUGUUAUUUGGGGGAAAAUGUUGUUUUUGCAUAAAUCAGUCAGGGAAAACAGAGACUGAUCUACAUCUCUUAAAGAACAAGAUAAACAUUCUUCAUCAAAUUAAUGAAGUGAAACCAUUCUAUUGAACUGACCUUUUCCCAGGAAUGGGAGACUGGUUUAAUGGGGGUAUGAGGAAAUGUGCUUAGAUCUGUUCUUUUCUGCUUAUUCAUUCUCAUCCUAAUUUAUAGUCUCUUUUUUUUUGAGACAGAGUCUCACUAUGUCACCCUUGGUAGAGUGUUGUGGCAUAACAGAUCACAGCAGCCUCAAAAUCUUGGGCUGAAGCAAUUCUCUUGCCUCAGUCUCCCAAGUAGCUGGGACUACAGGUGCCCACCACAAUGCCUGGCUAUUUUUGUUGUUUUUGUUGUCACAAUUGUCAUUGUUACCUUAGCCAGCCAGGCUGGGUUCAAACUUACCAGCCUCAAUGUAUGUGUCCGGUGCCUUACCCAAGGCAGGUAUGGGUGCCACCUCUAAUUUAUACUAUUAUAUGUCUUAUCAAACAUCUUAUCUUAUUACUAAAUUGCUAACCUGCUUUCUCUCUCUCUACAUUUACCACCUCAGCUCUUAAUGUUUGAAACUUCUAGGGAAGUUCCAGACCAGAGAAAUGAAG